AGAGUCCCACCAGGGAAGUGAUGGAA
This 26-nucleotide small RNA is filed under the name Bombyx mori (domestic silkworm). RNAcentral describes it as "ovarian small RNA-11941". The record is from RNAcentral. Lineage: Eukaryota; Metazoa; Arthropoda; Insecta; Lepidoptera; Bombycidae.